UCGUGCCAGCAGCCGCGGUAAUACGAAGGGGGCUAGCGUUGCUCGGAAUUACUGGGCGUAAAGGGAGCGUAGGCGGGUUAUCAAGUUGGAGGUGAAAGCCCAGGGCUCAACCUUGGAAUUGCCUUCAAAACUGAUAACCUAGAGGAUAGAAGAGGUAAGUGGAACUCCGAGUGUAGAGGUGAAAUUCGUAGAUAUUCGGAAGAACACCAGUGGCGAAGGCGACUUACUGGUCUAUUACUGACGCUGAGGCUCGAAAGCGUGGGGAGCAAACAGGAUUAGAUACCCUGGUAGUCCACGCUGUAACGAUGAGUGCU
RNAcentral lists this ribosomal RNA (314 nucleotides) under uncultured Alphaproteobacteria bacterium. Its description in RNAcentral is "bacterial SSU rRNA". It matches the Rfam family "Bacterial small subunit ribosomal RNA", at positions 503 to 817 of the family's 1533-position model. The record is from RNAcentral. Lineage: Bacteria; Pseudomonadati; Pseudomonadota; Alphaproteobacteria.